Molecule: ribosomal RNA, 253 nt
Filed under: uncultured bacterium
Lineage: Bacteria
Description: partial 16S ribosomal RNA
Rfam family: Bacterial small subunit ribosomal RNA
Source: RNAcentral
GACAGAGGGGGCAAACGUUGUUCGGAAUUACUGGGCGUAAAGCGCGUGUAGGCGGCUUGGCAAGUCGGAUGUGAAAGCCCAGGGCUCAACCCUGGAAGUGCACUCGAAACUGCCGAGCUGGAGUCCCGGAGAGGAAGGCGGAAUUCUCGGUGUAGAGGUGAAAUUCGUAGAUAUCGAGAGGAACACCUGUGGCGAAGGCGGCCUUCUGGACGGUGACUGACGCUGAGACGCGAAAGCGUGGGGAGCAAACAGG